UAUAAAGCCAAAUUGCACCCCAACCACCUUGGACACAUGUUCUCAGGACCUACUAAGGGCUGUGUCAUGGGCCAUGGUCCUUCAUAUUUGACUCAGAAUAAAUCUCUUAAAAUAUUUUACCAAGUUUCACUCUUUUUGUCAACAGCUUUAAGGCUGAAAAAUAUUCUGUUGUUUGUAUGUUUCAUGCGCGUCCGUGUAAAGAGACCACCAAACAGGCUUUGUGUGAGCAACAUGGCUGUUUAUUUCACCUGGGUGCAGGUAGGCUGAGUCCGAAAACAGAGUCAGCAAAGGGAGAUAAGGGUGGGGCCGUUUUAUAGGAUUUGGGUAGGUAAAGGAAAAUUACAGUCAAAGGGGGUUUGUUCUCUGGAGGGCAGGAGUGGAGGUUGCAAGGUGCUCAGUGGGGGUGAUUUUUGAGCCAGGAUGAGCCAGGAAAAGGACUUUCACAAGGUAAUGUCAUCACUUAAGGCAAGGACCGGCCAUUUACACUUCUUUUGUGGUGGAAUGUCAUCAGUUAAGGUGGGGCAGGGCAUAUUCACUUCUUUUGUGAUUCUUCAGUUACUUCAGGCCAUCUGGGCAUAUAUGUGCAAGUCACAGGGGAUGCGAUGGCUUGGCUUGGGCUCAGAGGCCUGACAUUCCUGCCUUCUUAUAUUAAUAAGAAAAACAAAACAAAAUAGUGUUGAAGUGUUGGGGCGGCGAAAAUUUUUGGGGGGUGGUAUCGAGAGAGAGAAUGGUCGAUGUUUCUCAGGGCUGCUUCAAGCGGGAUUAGGGGCGGCGUGGGACCCUAGAGUGGGAGAGAUUAAGCUGAAGGGAGGUCUUGCGGUAAGGGGUGAUAUUGUGGGGAUGUUAGAAGAAACAUUUGUUGUAUAGAAUGAUUGGUGAUGGCCUGGAUACGGUUUUGUAUGAAUUGAAAAACUAAAUGGAAUAACAGAAGGAGAAAAACAGGUAUAAAAGGUCUAAGAAUUGGGACCACUUAGGAUAUCUGAUUAGAGAGUGCUUAAGGAGAUUCGGCAUAGUCCUGCCAGCAAAGAUCAAAGAGAGGCUGGGACGAGGGGUGCAGGGGAAUAGUGGAAAAAGGCAUCUUUAAGAUCAAGCACGGAAUAGUGAGUUGUGGAGGAGGGUAUUGAGGACAAAAGAGUGUACGGGUUGGGCACCACAGGGUGGAUAGGCAAAACAAUUUGGUUGAUAAGGCGCAGAUCCUGAACUAACUUGUAAGGCUUGUCUGGUUUUAAGACAGGUGAAAUGGGGGAAUUGUAAGGAGAGUUUAUAGGCUUUAAAAGGCAAUUUUGUAGCAGGCGAGUGAUAACAGGCUUUAAUCUUUUUAAAGCGUGCUGCUGGAUGGGAUAUUGGCGUUGAGUGGGGUAAGGGUGAUUAGUGGGCUUACCUUCCACUGUGAGAGUUACCUGAAGCUUGGCGUCCGUGAUGGUCUAGGGGGCUUCCGAGGCGAUCAGGCAGCAUCAGUCUUCAGCCACUAAGCCAAGAAGAUCUGGGAAGGAGUCAGUCAGAGAGCCUCGGGCCAGAGUUCCAGGGGCUCUGGCAGUGGCUGUCAGGUGAGCUGAACAGUCCGAUUUCCAGUGGGGUCCCGCACAGAUGGGACACGGCUUAGGAGGAAUCCUGGGCUGCAGGCAUUCCUUGGCCUGGUGGUCAGAUUUCUGGCACUUGUAGCAAGCUCCUGGGGGAGGAGGUUCUGAAGGAACACCUGGCCUCUGCGGUUCAGGCGUUUGGAAGUUCUUGUAUGCUAGAGAUGUGGCUAGGGUUUGUCUCACAGUGGAGGCGAGGAAUUGCAACUUUUUUUUUUAUUAUUGUACACCUUGAAGGAGAGGUUAAUUAAGUCCUGUUGUGGGGUUUGAAGGCCAGAUUCUAAUUUUUGGAGUUUUAUUUAAUGUCCGGGGCAGAUUGGGUAAUAAAAUGUAUAUUGAGAAUAAGACGGCCUUUUGACAUUUUACCGUCUAGGGCUGUAAAGCAUCUCAGGGUUGCUGCCGAACGAGCCAUGAACUGGGCUGGGUUUUUAUAUUUGAUAAAAAAGAGCCUAAAUGCUUCUGAUUUGGGAUAAAGAAAAAGGAGCAUUAACCUUGACUAUGCCUUUGGCUCCAGCCACCUUUUUAAGAGUAAAUUGUGGGCAGGUGGGGGAGGGCUAGUCAGAGAAUGAAACUGUAAGCCGGACCAGGUGUGAGGAGGGGAGGCGAUAAAAAGAUUACAGGGUGGAGGAGCAGAGGCUGAGGAAGAAUUGGGACCUAGCUUGGCCUGGCAAGGAGGGGAGAGGUCAGAUGGGUCUGUAGAAAAGGAAGAUUAGAAAGACUCAGCUACGCUUGGGGUUGGGACUGAGGGGACAGGUGGGAGGGAAAGAAGGAAGAUUUGGGACGAGUUGCACUGGGCACAGAGACUAGGAAGGGACUGAUGUGUAAAAGAAUGCCUGGACAUCAGGCACCUCAGACCAUUUGUCAAUUUUAGGACAAGAAUUAUUUAGAUCUUGUAGGAUGGAAAAAUUGAAAGUGCCAUUUUCCGGCUAUUUGGAACUACUGUCGAGUUUGUAUUGGGGUCAAGCGGCAUUGCAGAAGAAAAUAAGAUGCUUAGAUUUUAGGUCAGAUGAGAGUUGAAGAGGUUUUAAGUUCUUAAGAAUAUAGGCUAAGGGAGAAGAAGGAGGAAUGGAAGGUGGAAGCUUGCCCAUAGUAAAGGAGGCAAGCCCAGAGAAAAGAGCAGAGACACGGAGAAGGGGUGGGGGGUUCUUGCCCUCCAGAAAAGCAGAGAAAGGGUUGGGGCAUGGAAAUAAGGAAUUGGGGCACAGAGAUAAGAGGGUGGGGCACAGAAAUAAGGGAUUGGGUGUUCUUGCCCCCUAGAAAAGCGGGACUUGCCGCUAAGGGUGAAGGAGAAGGGGUUGAGGGGUACUAAGGGUGAAGGACCAAGGCAGGUGUCCCUGCUUGGUCUGACACCUUUGAAAUGUGUGUGAAUAAUCAGAGAGGUGUCCCUGCAAGGAUUAAAUACCAAGGGAAGGCUGCCUUCCCAGUCCGUGACCGCCGCCGGAGUUUUGGGUCCACGGAUAAAACGUGUCUCCUUUGUCUCUACCAGAAAAUGAAAGGAAUUGAAAUUAAGAGAAGGGAGUGAUUGAAGUGUGGCGCCAAGAUUGAAAGGAGAAAGAGGUUGAAGGAUAGUGAGGGAAGCUGGAGAAGAGAGUAAAAAGAGGCCGCUUACCGGAUUUGAAAUUGGUGAGAUGUUUCUUGGGCUGGUCGGUCUGAGGACCUGAGGUCGUAGGUGGAUCUUUCUCACAGAGCAAAGAGCAGGAGGACAGGGGAUUGAUCUCCUAAGGGAGGUCCCCCGAUCUGAGUCACGACACCAAAUUUCAUGCGCGUCCCUGUGAAGAGACCACCAAACAGGCUUUGUGUGAGCAACAAGGCUGUUUAUUUCACCUGGGUGCAGGCGGGCUGAGUCCAAAGAGAGUCAGCAAAGGUUUUAGAUUUAAGUCUUUAAUCCAUUGUACAUUAAUUUUUGUUUACAGUAUUAAGUGAGAAUCCAACUUCAUUGUUUUUCUAAAU
Molecule: long non-coding RNA, 3527 nt
Filed under: Homo sapiens (human)
Lineage: Eukaryota; Metazoa; Chordata; Mammalia; Primates; Hominidae
Description: non-protein coding lnc-NEIL3-9:1
Source: RNAcentral